GUCUUUUCUGGCAGAUUACUUCUGUGAGCAACUGGGUCUCUCAGUUCUUUGGGAGCACCCUGGGAAACAGUGUGGCUAUGACUUGGAGCUGCUCACCAGUUCCAGUCAUUCUGUGGUUGAGAGCUGCUCCCUAUGGAUGUUAAUUCUUCUCUAUUUUAGAUUUUCCACAGGUGUGGGCCCCAUUAGCUCUGGCCACCUGAGAAAGCCCUCAGGCAAAGAGUCGCAGGUGAAAGCCAGCAGUUAGAGGUUCACAGAAAUGAGUGCAGAAGCAUCUUCAGUUGGAGAGCCAUUGCCUCUUGCUGUGAAAUAUUUGGGAAUCUUCAGAAACCAUGAAGAAUAACCUGCUAAAGGCCACCAAGUUCUAUUGAACAUCAUGAAUCCUAUGCUCAAGUGAGAUCAGCUCAAGUGAGACCAGAUAUCUGAAGACCUUUUCAUUUUCGCCACCCUCAAAUGAAGGCAUGCAAGUCCUGUUUGUCUCUGCCACUCCUCUAGCUGAUAUGUGCUCCAGAUUUGAAAAUUAAUUUAAGAAGCCAAAUUGUUUCCUGCUUUUCAAAGUUAUACAUAUCGUUACAUAUGUUUAUAUUUAUGUGUACACACAAAUGUAAAGCAAUGAUGCCUCUAUUAAAAUGAUGUUCAGUUAA
This 641-nucleotide long non-coding RNA is filed under the name Homo sapiens (human). RNAcentral describes it as "long intergenic non-protein coding RNA 534". The record is from RNAcentral. Lineage: Eukaryota; Metazoa; Chordata; Mammalia; Primates; Hominidae.